GACGAACGCUGGCGGCGUGCUUAACACAUGCAAGUCGAACGAUGAAAGCUGGAGCUUGCUCCGGCUGGAUUAGUGGCGAACGGGUGAGUAACACGUGAGCAAUCUGCCCUUGACUCUGGGAUAACUCUGAGAAAUCGGUGCUAAUACCGGAUAUGACUCUUGGCGGCAUCGCCGGGGGCGGAAAGUUGUUCGGUCAAGGAUGGGCUCGCGGCCUAUCAGCUUGUUGGGGAGGUAAUGGUGCACCAAGGAGACGACGGGUAGCCGGCCUGAGAGGGUGACCGGCCACACUGGGACUGAGACACGGCCCAGACUCCUACGGGAGGCAGCAGUGGGGAAUAUUGCACACUGGGCGCAAGCCUGAUGCAGCAACGCCGCGUGGGGGAUGACGGCCUUCGGGUUGUAGACCUCUUUUAGCAGGGAAGAAGCGAAAGUGACGGUACCUGCAGAAAAAGCACCGGCUAACUACGUGCCAGCCGCCGCCGUAA
This 485-nucleotide ribosomal RNA is filed under the name uncultured bacterium. Its description in RNAcentral is "partial 16S ribosomal RNA". It matches the Rfam family "Bacterial small subunit ribosomal RNA", at positions 28 to 523 of the family's 1533-position model. The record is from RNAcentral.